GCCCCGUAAAGCUGGUAAACGGAGCAACCAGCAUUGGAAUAAAGGUAGCCCGAAAGGGUUGCGCUGAAGACUUGGAUGAGCGCAGGUUCGAUUCCUGCACGGGGUA
Molecule: transfer RNA, 106 nt
Filed under: Bacteroidales bacterium
Lineage: Bacteria; Pseudomonadati; Bacteroidota; Bacteroidia; Bacteroidales
Description: tRNA-OTHER
Source: RNAcentral